Molecule: ribosomal RNA, 566 nt
Filed under: uncultured archaeon
Lineage: Archaea
Description: bacterial SSU rRNA
Rfam family: Archaeal small subunit ribosomal RNA
Source: RNAcentral
CGGGGUGCACCAGGCGCGAAAACUUUACAAUGCGGGAAACCGUGAUAAGGGGACACCGAGUGCCAGCAUCAUAUGCUGGCUGUCCAGGUGUGUAAAAUACACCUGUUAGCAAGGGCCGGGCAAGACCGGUGCCAGCCGCCGCGGUAACACCGGCGGCCCGAGUGGUGAUCGUGAUUAUUGGGUCUAAAGGGUCCGUAGCCGGUUUGGUCAGUCCUCCGGGAAAUCUGACGGCUCAACCGUUAGGCUUUCGGGGGAUACUGCCAGGCUUGGAACCGGGAGAGGUAAGAGGUACUACAGGGGUAGGAGUGAAAUCUUGUAAUCCCUGUGGGACCACCUGUGGCGAAGGCGUCUUACCAGAACGGGUUCGACGGUGAGGGACGAAAGCUGGGGGCACGAACCGGAUUAGAUACCCGGGUAGUCCCAGCCGUAAACGAUGCUCGCUAGGUGUCAGGCAUGGCGCGACCGUGUCUGGUGCCGCAGGGAAGCCGUGAAGCGAGCCACCUGGGAAGUACGGCCGCAAGGCUGAAACUUAAAGGAAUUGGCGGGGGAGCACAAGGGCGAUUCGC